UACGGGGGGAGCAAGCGUUGUUCGGAUUUACUGGGCGUAAAGGGCGCGUAGGUGGUUCUGUAUGUCUACCGUGAAAGCGUACGGCUCAACUGUAUUUUGUCGGUAGAAACUGCAGGACUUGAGGCUGGGAGGGGCUGGUGGAAUUCCCUGUGUAGCGGUGAAAUGCGUAGAGAUGGGGGAGAACACUCGUGGCGAAGGCGGCCAGCUAGACCAGUUCUGACACUGAGGCGCGACAGCGUGGGGAGCAAACAGG
This 253-nucleotide ribosomal RNA is filed under the name uncultured bacterium. Its description in RNAcentral is "partial 16S ribosomal RNA". It matches the Rfam family "Bacterial small subunit ribosomal RNA", at positions 524 to 776 of the family's 1533-position model. The record is from RNAcentral.